CUACUACUACUGCUACUACAGCUGCUACUGAAUAUCACUAUAUAAAUAGCCAAUAAAUAGAAAGAUAUUGGAUAAUGGAUUCAUUUUACCAUCCAUGUAGGCUUUAUUACAGUUUUCUUCCGCUCUGUGAUACUUGCACUAUAUACAGACAUAAUGGUAACUGAUGCUAAUGUUACACUAUUACUGUAUAGUCAUCAUUGUGUUCUCUAUACAACAGGUUCUACCUUCAGACCAAAGUCCUCUGGGGAAAGAGUUCUUUAAAAAAAACAAUCCGGUUUUUGAGCAUUUAGCUACUUACCGUGAUGUAUCGGGUCAGUGUGAGCUUUCUGCAGGGGAAUAUGUCAUUGUGGCAGCAACCUAUUCUGAGUCUCAAGAAGUUGAUUUUCACCUCCGUAUUUUUACUGAAAAAUGAGACAGAGCAUGUGGCGAACCACACUAUUGGCCUGAGGAUAGAUCCACAGAUACAAUGCUAAGAAAGGAAAGAUGCUUGGCCUCAUCCUUUAAUCAGCACAUUCUCAGCAGAUUCCUAUUAUAUCGCUUAUAUGCAUAAAUGUUGAUUAUUUCAAUACAAUUUGCUCUGAAAUGCAGAAUCUCCUCUUGUGUGAACUGAAUGUCUCGACAUAAUUUGGGGUCGGAUAGCUUUGUA
This is a long non-coding RNA of Bufo gargarizans (Asiatic toad), 646 nucleotides long. RefSeq lists it as uncharacterized. Lineage: Eukaryota; Metazoa; Chordata; Amphibia; Anura; Bufonidae. The transcript has 2 exons. The record is from RefSeq and is a predicted model, not a curated record.